This 206-nucleotide unclassified non-coding RNA is filed under the name Limulus polyphemus (Atlantic horseshoe crab). Its description in RNAcentral is "uncharacterized LOC106458916, transcript variant X1". Lineage: Eukaryota; Metazoa; Arthropoda; Merostomata; Xiphosura; Limulidae. The record is from RNAcentral.
UUCAUUACGCUCACUUCAGCGACCGACACAAUGAGGGAUCUAAAGCACACACAACUGAGCAACUCGAACAUUAAUCCCGUUUGCGACUGCGCCAUAUUUAAUUUUGGGGUUUCUGAGGGGUUGCAAGUCAAAUAAAAUUGCUAGGAGAGAACUGUUCUGGUUAAUUAACUUGUCCUGUAUUUCAGUUACUAGGUGCAGCACUUGUU